UGUCCACUGUCUCUGGUCCCAG
Molecule: microRNA, 22 nt
Filed under: Mus musculus (house mouse)
Lineage: Eukaryota; Metazoa; Chordata; Mammalia; Rodentia; Muridae
Description: mmu-miR-6989-3p
Source: miRBase by way of RNAcentral